RNAcentral lists this unclassified non-coding RNA (401 nucleotides) under soil metagenome. RNAcentral's name for it is "partial contains 5.8S ribosomal RNA, internal transcribed spacer 2, and large subunit ribosomal RNA". The stretch from base 1 to 121 matches the Rfam family "5.8S ribosomal RNA", at positions 35 to 154 of the family's 154-position model. The record is from RNAcentral.
GAUGAAGAACGCAGCGAAAUGCGAUAAGUAAUGUGAAUUGCAGAAUUCAGUGAAUCAUCGAAUCUUUGAACGCACCUUGCGCCCUUUGGCUAUUCUGAAGGGCAUGCCUGUUUGAGUAUCGUGAACACCUCAACUCUCAUGGUCUGCCAUGAUGAGCUUGGACUUUGGGGGUCUUGCUGGCCUACUGUCAGCUCCUCUCAAAUGAAUCAGCUUACCAGUGUUUGGUGGCACCACAGGUGUGAUAACUAUCUACGCUUGUGGUUUUCUGCCAGGUAACCUCCAGUGAUGGAGGUUCGCUGGAGCUCACAAAUGUCUCUCCUCAGCGAGGACAGCUUUUUGAACGUUUGAUCUCAAAUCAGGUAGGACUACCCGCUGAACUUAAGCAUAUCAAUAAGCGGAGA